This 416-nucleotide ribosomal RNA is filed under the name uncultured eukaryote. RNAcentral describes it as "SSU rRNA". It matches the Rfam family "Eukaryotic small subunit ribosomal RNA", at positions 592 to 1013 of the family's 1831-position model. The record is from RNAcentral.
CAAUAGCGUAUAUUAAAGUUGUUGCGGUUAAAAAGCUCGUAGUUGGAUUUCUGCCGAGGACGACCGGUCCGCCCUCUGGGUGAGUAUCUGGUUCGGCCUGGGCAUCUUCUUGGAGAACGUAUCUGCACUUGACUGUGUGGUGCGGUAUCCAGGACUUUUACUUUGAGGAAAUUAGAGUGUUUCAAGCAGGCACACGCCUUGAAUACAUUAGCAUGGAAUAAUAAGAUAGGACUUUGGUUCUAUUUUGUUGGUUCUUGAACCGAAGUAAUGAUUAAGAGGGACAGUUGGGGGCAUUCGUAUUUCGUUGUCAGAGGUGAAAUUCUUGGAUUUACGAAAGACGAACAACUGCGAAAGCAUUUGCCAAGAAUGUUUUCAUUAAUCAAGAACGAAAGUUAGAGGCUCGAAGACGAUCAGAU